This 336-nucleotide unclassified non-coding RNA is filed under the name soil metagenome. RNAcentral's name for it is "partial contains 5.8S ribosomal RNA, internal transcribed spacer 2, and large subunit ribosomal RNA". The stretch from base 1 to 120 matches the Rfam family "5.8S ribosomal RNA", at positions 35 to 154 of the family's 154-position model. The record is from RNAcentral.
GAUGAAGAACGCAGCGAAAUGCGAUAAGUAGUGUGAAUUGCAGAAUUCAGUGAAUCAUCGAAUCUUUGAACGCACAUUGCGCCCCUUGGUAUUCCAUGGGGCAUGCCUGUUCGAGCGUCAUUUGUACCUUCAAGCUUUGCUUGGUGUUGGGUGUUUGUCUCGCCUUUGCGUGUAGACUCGCCUUAAAAUAAUUGGCAGGCGGCGUAUUGAUUUCGGAGCGCAGUACAUCUCGCGCUUUGCACUCAUAACGACAGCGUCCAAAAGUACAUUUUACACUCUUGACCUCGGAUCAGGUAGGGAUACCCGCUGAACUUAAGCAUAUCAAUAAGCGGAGGA